UACAGAGGUGGCAAGCGUUGUUCGGAAUUACUGGGCGUAAAGGGCGCGUAGGCGGUUCGUUAAGUCCUGUGUGAAAUCCCCCGGCUCAACUGGGGAACUGCACAGGAAACUAGCGGGCUUGAGUUCGGGAGAGGGAAGCGGAAUUCCGGGUGUAGCGGUGAAAUGCGUAGAUAUCUGGAGGAACACCGGUGGCGAAGGCGGCAUCCUGGACCGGUAUUGACGCUGAGGCGCGAAAGCCAGGGGAGCAAACGGG
Molecule: ribosomal RNA, 253 nt
Filed under: uncultured bacterium
Lineage: Bacteria
Description: partial 16S ribosomal RNA
Rfam family: Bacterial small subunit ribosomal RNA
Source: RNAcentral